This 497-nucleotide ribosomal RNA is filed under the name uncultured Sphingobacteriales bacterium. Its description in RNAcentral is "bacterial SSU rRNA". It matches the Rfam family "Bacterial small subunit ribosomal RNA", at positions 903 to 1382 of the family's 1533-position model. Lineage: Bacteria; Pseudomonadati; Bacteroidota; Sphingobacteriia; Sphingobacteriales. The record is from RNAcentral.
GCCAGCCCGCUCAGAACUUAAAGGAAUUGACGGGGCCCGCACAAGCGGAGGAGCAUGUGGUUUAAUUCGAUGAUACGCGAGGAACCUUACCUGGGCUCGAACGUAAGAUGACUGUAGGUGAAAGCUUACAUCUCUUCGGAGCAUUUUACGAGGUGCUGCAUGGUUGUCGUCAGCUCGUGCCGUGAGGUGUCGGGUUAAGUCCCAUAACGAGCGCAACCCCUACCUUUAGUUGCCAUCAGGUUAAGCUGGGGACUCUAAAGGAACUGCCUACGCAAGUAGUGAGGAAGGCGGGGAUGACGUCAAAUCAGCACGGCCCUUACGUCCAGGGCUACACACGUGCUACAAUGGCCGAUACAGAGGGCAGCUACCUGGUGACAGGAUGCAAAUCUCCAAAGUCGGUCUCAGUUCGGAUCGGAGUCUGCAACCCGACUCCGUGAAGUUGGAUUCGCUAGUAAUCGCGCAUCAGCCAUGGCGCGGUGAAUACGUUCCCGGGCCUU